RNAcentral lists this long non-coding RNA (1299 nucleotides) under Equus caballus (horse). Its description in RNAcentral is "lncRNA (ENSECAG00000045682.1)". Lineage: Eukaryota; Metazoa; Chordata; Mammalia; Perissodactyla; Equidae. The record is from RNAcentral.
CUCUCUGGCAACUACCACUGUAUUAUCUAUAUCUAUGAGUUUUGUUUGUUCAUUUGUUUUGUUUUUUAGAUUCCAUAUAUAAGUGAAAUCAUAUAUUUGCCUUUCUCUGACAUAUUCCCCUUGACAUAAGACCCUUAAGGUCCAUCCAUGUUGUCACAAUGGCAAGAUUUCAUUUUUUUUAUGGCUGAGUAAUAUUCCAUUGUGUAUAUAUACCACAAUCUUCUUUAUCCAACUUAAUUUGUAUUAUUUUGCUAUAACAAAACUGUAAUCAUAAGUAUAGCAAUUCUUGAGUUCUGUGAGCUGCUUUAGCAAAUUACAGAAGUUGAGGGAAGUCAUAGUAGCCUCUGAAUUUGUAGCCAGCUAGUCUGAAGGGAGGGUGGUCCUGGGAACCCACAAACUUGCGUCUGGUGUCUGAAGUGAGGGCUGUCUUGUGAGGACUGUUCACUCAAACUGUAGUUAGCUAAACUCACUGCAGUAGCUAAAUGCUGAGAAGUUGCCAGGACAGGAAGGACCACAUGGAAACUGAAAGUCCUUAUAGGUGAGUAUCAGACCCUGCCCUCAAGGCUGUGCUGUGGUCCUCUCCGGGCACAUCUAACCACUGGGCACCCACUUGAGGUUCAGCACCUCUUUCCCUCAGCACCAAGUCUCAGAGACCACUCUUGCCCUUCGAUUGCAGAGGUUUAAGGGGCACUGACCCAACACUCUGGGACUCAACACCGUCACACUGGCUGGGAAUGGGAGAAGCAUGGCAUAGGAGUUAAAGGUAAAGCCUUCAGCAACAGACAGACCUGGUGGAGCAGUCAAGGUCUCACCAGAAAGAAGAUAAAGAAGGACUCAUUAUAAAGGGGUUUCCUACAAAAGAGUGGGUGCCAGGCAACCACAAGGGAUUGGGUAGUAUCCUGGAACAGCAGCCUUAAUCUCAAAGACACAAGGGGAGGAAAUGGAAGGAGAGGAUUCUGUAGAGGCAGCCACUCUGUGGCACAGCCAGAUGAAAGCGACCUCUCCUUUCUUCUCCCUUAUUUGUGGGGCUGUCCAGUAACAGACCCAGCUGGAGCUAGAGAGCAAGGGAGACUGUCGAUGCAGCCCAUGCAGUCAUAGUGGAAAGUGUGGAGCUGCCAGGAGAGAGGAGGGGUUGCAUCAUAUGGUGACAAAAGAAUGAAUCCCACCCAGAGGAAGCAGAGCCAAGAAAUGGAUCCCUGUUGUUUGAGUCCUGGAUCAAAUCGUGCCUGGAUCCCCAGUGAGCCAAUAAAUUUUCCUUAUUGCUUCAGCCUGUUUGAGAUGGUUUCAUUUCACUUGGAA